GCCUGACUGGCUCAGUUGGUAGAGCAUGUGACUCUUAAUCUUGGGGUUAUGAGUUUGAGCCCUACGUUGGGUG
Molecule: transfer RNA, 73 nt
Filed under: Felis catus (domestic cat)
Lineage: Eukaryota; Metazoa; Chordata; Mammalia; Carnivora; Felidae
Also listed under: 2 other names
Rfam family: tRNA
About the family: Transfer RNA (tRNA) molecules are approximately 80 nucleotides in length. Their secondary structure includes four short double-helical elements and three loops (D, anti-codon, and T loops).
Source: Rfam by way of RNAcentral